RNAcentral lists this ribosomal RNA (352 nucleotides) under uncultured Spirotrichea. RNAcentral describes it as "SSU rRNA". It matches the Rfam family "Eukaryotic small subunit ribosomal RNA", at positions 153 to 510 of the family's 1831-position model. The record is from RNAcentral. Lineage: Eukaryota; Ciliophora; Spirotrichea.
UAAUUCUAGAGCUAAUACAUGCUGGUAGGCCCGACUUUUGCGGAAGGGCGGUAUUUAUUAGAUAACAAGCCAAUAUUCCUCUGGUCUAUUGUGGUGACUCAUAAUAACUGAUCGAAUCGCAAGGCCUUUGGCCGCGAUAAGUCAUUCAAGUUUCUGCCCCAUCAGCUUUCGAUGGUAGUGUAUUGGACUACCAUGGCAAUAACGGGUAACGGAGAAUUAGGGUUCGAUUCCGGAGAGGGAGCCUGAGAAACGGCUACCACAUCUAAGGAUGGCAGCAGAGGCGUAAAUUACCCAAUCCUGACUCAGGGAGGUAGUGACAAGAAAUAACGGAUCGGGGCUAUGCCCUGGGACU